CCUGUCUGUGGGUUGAGGCUGAUACAUACACGCCAACGCAGAAUCAUAGGAGGAGAGAACUCACUGAGGGGAGGCUGGCCAUGGCAGGCUGCGGUGCGUCUCAGAGGCUCUCGGGGGGACGGAAGGUUGGUGUGUGGAGCGACUCUCAUCAGCUCCUGUUGGGUACUCACCUCAGCUCACUGCUUUAAGAGGCAUGGUAACAUUACUAAACAGUACAAGGUGAGGGUUGGAGAUUACCAUUCUCUGGUUCCCGAGGAGUUUGAGGAGGAGUACGCCGUCGAUCAGAUCGUCCUGCACCCUAGCUACCGUUCCCACAGCAACGACUACGACCUGGCCUUGGUGCGUCUGUCGCCGGGAGUGGCGGGGAAGGGCCGCGGUCGAUGUGUGGCGUUCAGUCGGCACGUCCUGCCCGCCUGUCUGCCGCUACGCAAGGAGAGAGUCCUGAAACAGGCUUCCAACUGUCACAUCACAGGCUGGGGGGAC
This is a long non-coding RNA of Oncorhynchus gorbuscha (pink salmon), 483 nucleotides long. RefSeq lists it as uncharacterized. The record is from RefSeq and is a predicted model, not a curated record. The transcript is spliced from 3 exons. NCBI's taxonomy places the organism in Eukaryota, Metazoa, Chordata, Actinopteri, Salmoniformes, Salmonidae.